RNAcentral lists this ribosomal RNA (516 nucleotides) under uncultured bacterium. RNAcentral describes it as "bacterial SSU rRNA". It matches the Rfam family "Bacterial small subunit ribosomal RNA", at positions 19 to 518 of the family's 1533-position model. The record is from RNAcentral.
CUGGCUCAGAUUGAACGCUGGCGGCGUGCUUAACACAUGCAAGUCGCGCGUGAAAGGACUUCGGUCCGAGUAAAGCGGCGCACGGGUGAGUAACGCGUGGAUGAUCUACCCAUGAGUUAGGAAUAACGGCUGGAAACGGUCGCUAAUACCAAAUACGCUCCGAUUUCAACUUCGGGGGAAAGGUGGCCUCUGCUUGCAAGCUACUGCUCAUGGAUGAGUCCGCGUCCCAUUAGCUAGUUGGUGGGGUAACGGCCCACCAAGGCGACGAUGGGUAGCCGGUCUGAGAGGAUGACCGGCCACACUGGGACUGGAACACGGCCCAGACUCCUACGGGAGGCAGCAGUGGGGAAUAUUGCGCAAUGGGCGAAAGCCUGACGCAGCGACGCCGCGUGAGGGGAAUGAAGGUCCUCGGAUCGUAAACCUCUGUCAGGAGGGAAGAACCGCCACGGUGCUAAUCAGCCGUGGUCUGACGGUACCUCCAAAGGAAGCACCGGCUAACUCCGUGCCAGCAGCCGC